This 6538-nucleotide long non-coding RNA is filed under the name Drosophila guanche. The record is from RNAcentral. Lineage: Eukaryota; Metazoa; Arthropoda; Insecta; Diptera; Drosophilidae.
AAUGACUGACAGAAGAAGAGGAAAACCAACAACAAAACACUUGUGGAGUAGAGCAGAGUGUAGCUGGAGCUUUCAACAAAAAAAAAAAAUAUAAAACGAGAAGAGACGUGUGAGACGCACAACGUCACAACUUUUAUACAGGCAGGGGGAGGGCAGAGGCAGGGGCCGAGUGAGGCAGAAGCAGAGUGUGAAUGAGAGAAUGUAAAAAGAACAACAAAAGCUGCGGGACAGGGUGGGUUUAGCCACUGGAUAUUAAUUUCUCCAUUGUUGCUAUAAUAAUGAUCCGAUCGGAUAAAAAUUUGGUGAUCUGAUAGAUAUGUACUGUAGGUUUCGGAGGUUUUUGCCCUUUUGCGGAGGCGGAAGGGGGCGGGGCUAAUUUUUGAAAUACACUGGUUUCAGUGUGAGCAUACAGCAGUCCGGAGCCAACAUUUGGUGGCGGUUGUAAGCAUAUAUUACAUUUUUUGUUGUUUCAAAAUAACAUUAAAUUUAUCAAUAUUGCAGAAAAGAAGAGAACAACAGGUGGCAGGGGGAAAUAGUCAUCGGAGAUGGAGAGCCUGCUGAUAGAUCUCUGGCAGGAGAAUAUUGAAGAUCUGCGUGGAGCCAUGAAGGAGGCUGGGCUCGCGAUUGGAUGGGGAGAUGUUCGAGUGAAAGUCGAAAAUUUGCAAACAAUACGGUGGAGUACCAGCCUUUAUAAUUGUGAUGGUAGACUGCCUCAGCUCCUGGUGGUUUUUUUUCGAUUUGACAUCCAUCUACAAUAAAGGGAAACCCAAUUUACAUAUGUGUGUGCAUAUCUAUAGAUGUAUAAUGAAUUGUUCUAUUGCUUUCUUACCAAUUGCACCUAGACACUGUGGAAAUCCAAUCUGUUCGAAUCCUUGGACACAUUCGUCAAGUCGUUUCACAUCUUUCAAAAAAAUCCAAAGUUCCCCUUGGAGGGACUCAGUGUGAAGAGCCUAUUCUGAAUUAAAUUCAAGUUGUUUCAGUUAUAAUAGUCUUUUCCGAUGUUAACUAUCGCAUUUUUAUUUGUCCAUUUCGAUGAAUUUAAAAAGGUGAGUACUUCUAGAAUCUAGAUCUCAAUUGGAAAAAUGUUUCCCAUAUGAUCUAGAGUUGAUGUUUGGAGUAUGCUGAGUUUUUUUAAUUCGUUGGCUGGUCAAAGCAGAUUACUAUGGGUUCCUAGCGGUAUUUAGCUUACACAUUCAUUUUGAUUAGAAAAAGAUUCGCCGUAAUAAAAUAUACAUUUUGCUUGGAGUUAAGAUGUACAUAUAUCUUCAAACUAUCUCUCUGUACUCUUGUUGCUUAUGCUUGACCAACAUCGUCAUUCUAUGCUUCUUCAUUCGCAUUUUCUGCUUGUUCUGCAAUGAUGUGGAAAAUGAAUAUCGUAAUUUCUAAAGUAACAUUUAUGUUGCGCAUACUCAGUUAUUUGCAAUAUGAAUGAGAAAGCGUUCUCAAGGUUAUGGAACUCUUCCAUGCGUGCUCAUAGAGAUAAAGUUUUGUUGAAUGUGAUACAUCGCAUAUUUAUAUACAUAUGUACAAUGUAUGACAUGUUCUUCGGUUCUUUAUAUUGUAUUAAACAAGCACAACGUUAAAAAACUAACUUAUCUGUCUCCUUUACGCUCAACAUAAGAUACUUCCGUUACAUCUACUAAGGCGUAUGAAAAAAACGAGAAGGGACGUGUGAGACGCUUCUUACGCGUCACAACUUUUAUACCCGGAACUCAGUACAACAUCUGCACCUUAACGAUGUUUUGUCAAAUUUUAAAUCUUUUCUUCAUCUGUCAUCUACAUCUACAACACUUCUCACACCAACACGCUCCGGUAGCUCGCCGCCCUUCCCUAGACCCUCACACUGCAGAAGGCAGAGGCACCGUCCGCACACAAAAAAAAAAAAAACAAAUAAAAGCUGCGGGACGGGGUGGGUUAAAAGUCGGCAGAGGCAUCGGCAGGGGGAGGGCAGAGGCAGGGGCCGAGUGAAGCAGAAGCAGAGUGUGAAUGAGAGAAUGUAAAAAGAACAACAAAAGCUGCGGGACAGGGUGGGUUUAGCCACUGCAAAUUAAUUUAUUCAUUGUGGCUAUAAUAAUGAUCCAAUCGGAUCCCAAUUUGGUGUUUUCUUUUAUCUUCAAACUGUAGGUUUAGGAGGUUUUCGUAUAUAUAUUCUUGAUCAAAAUCAAUAGCCGAGUCGAUAGAGCCAUGUCUGUCUGUCCGUCUUGUUUGUCGGCUAGUUCUCAGAGACUAUAAGAACUAGAGUUACCAAAAAAGGACCAAGUCCAGACAGCUGUAUGCUCACACUGAAACCAGUGUAUUUCAAAAAUUAGCCCCGCCCCCGAAAAAUAGCGAAAACCUCCCAAACCUACAAUUUUGAAGAUAAAAGAAAACUAAAAACGCCAUUCCAUAGGGAACGGCCAUAUCUAUCAGAUCACCAAAUUGGGAUCCGAAUUUUGGAUCAUUAUUAUAGCCACAAUGAAUAAAUUAAUUUUGUAGUUUAAAGAGCAUUGACAAAAACUGACUAACUAAAGAUGAAACUAUUACAAUUCAAAUGAAAAUGAUUUAAUAUAUUGCUUAGUUAAACAAGUACUAAGCGAAAUGCAAUUGUACGUUGGAGCGAUUCCAAUAAAAUUACUUUUAACCAAACAAUCAUUCAAUCAGUCAAUCAAAUAUAUUUUUUAAUGUUCUAAAAUGUUUUAAUGGAUCUUUUAUUAUAAUUAAUCGUUUAAAUACCUUUUUUUUAUAAUAAAUACGACGUAAAUGGGUUCCAUUUUUUAUGGGGGCGGGAGGUAGGCGGGGUCCAUUUGACUACAUUUUUUUCGAUAUUCAACUUUAGUCUAACUAACAUUCAUGCCAAUUUGUAGAGCUUUAGCUGUAUUUUUUUGAUUAAUGCCAAAAAAACGGGCUGUUUACCCAUGGAGCAGUGGUCUGGUCUGAAACUACUUCAAAGUAAACCGACACGCAAACAAAACAAAUCGCAUCGAAUUUUCAAUGUCGUUGAUAAAAAAAACUUUUACACCUGGUACUCAGUAGUAAGCUAAAUUUUACAUUUCAUAUUUGUCUAGCUCGCCCCUCUCCCCUUGCAUGGUAGAAUUACUAAUAGGUAACGUCAUCAGCUGAGUGGAGGAUCACCAGCUUAUUCACCACGCUCUCUCAACUCUCAGAGAGGCAAGCGCUAGAGAGAGAUAGCAAGCGUUUUACGUUUUGCAUUCUUCGUUUUUAUUGUUUCUGCUGACAGCAAAGAAAAGAUGUUCAAUAAAAAAUAAAACGAAAUAGUUCAAAACAAAUAAUAACAUAGGCAUAGCAAACAAUAUGCUGCAGACAUGUUUAUUUCUAAAAAUACAAAUAAAACGUCCAAAAUAAAAUAGUAGUUGCAUGCAUAUUUCAUUGUCUUCCGCUACGUCUUCAUUCGUAAACAAUGAAGAAAAAGAAGAAGACAAUGAAAAAAAUCGUGCGCUACACAACCUCUUUCGUCAACGUUUGGCAAACGACUGACAAGCUGGUAUUCCUCGAAUGAGGAGCACCGUGGCGACAACGUCACCUAUUAGUAAUUUCACCAUGUCCCCUAGAGCCACACACUGCACGAAGCAGAGUGUGAAAUGAGAGAAUGUGAAACAACAACAAAAAACUGCUGGAUGGGGUGUGAGUAGCCACUGCAAAUUAAUUUCUUCAUUCUGGCUUUAACAUUGAUUCACUUCGGUGAUCUGAUAGAUAUGGUUCUUUCCUACGGAAUGGCAUUUUAGUUUUCUUUUAUCUUUAAAAUUGUGGAUACAGCAGAUUUUCGCCUUUGCGGGCGGAGGGGGCGUGACGAAAUACACUUGCAGCAGUGUGAGCAUACAGCCAUCUAAAUGCGACAUUUGGUGGCUCAGACAGACCUACAUGGCUAUAUAGACUCGGCUAUUGAUGCUGAUCAAGAAUAUAUAUACUUUAUGGGGUCGGAAACGUUUCCUUCUGUGCGUUACAUACAACCGUUAUUCACACAAAUACAAUAUAACCUAUUUACUNUGCACUCUUCGUUUUUAUUGUUUCUGCUGACAGCAAAGAAAAGAUGUUCAAUAAAAAAUAAAACGAAAUAGUUCAAAACAAAUAAUAACAUAGGCAUAGCAAACAAUAUGCUGCAGACAUGUUUAUUUCUAAAAAUACAAAUAAAACGUCCAAAAUAAAAUAGUAGUUGCAUGCAUAUUUCAUUGUCUUCCGCUACGUCUUCAUUCGUAAACAAUGAAGAAAAAGAAGAAGACAAUGAAAAAAAUCGUGCGCUACACAACCUCUUUCGUCAACGUUUGGCAAACGACUGACAAGCUGGUAUUCCUCGAAUGAGGAGCACCGUGGCGACAACGUCACCUAUUAGUAAUUUCACCAUGUCCCCUAGAGCCACACACUGCACGAAGCAGAGUGUGAAAUGAGAGAAUGUGAAACAACAAAAAAAAACUGCUGGAUGGGGUGUGAGUAGCCACUGCAAAUUAAUUUCUUCAUUCUGGCUUUAACAUUGAUUCACUUCGGUGAUCUGAUAGAUAUGGUUCUUUCCUACAGAAUGGCAUUUUAGUUUUCUUUUAUCUUUAAAAUUGUGGAUACAGCAGAUUUUCGCCUUUGCGGGGCGGAGGGGGCGUGACGAAAUACACUUGCAGCAGUGUGAGCAUACAGCCAUCUAAAUGCGACAUUUGGUGGCUCAGACAGACCUACAUGGCUAUAUAGACUCGGCUAUUGAUGCUGAUCAAGAAUAUAUAUACUUUAUGGGGUUGGAGACGCUUCCUUCUGUGUGUUACAUACAUCCACCUUUGUGCACAAAUACAAUAUACCCUAUUUACCCUUCGAGUACUGGGUAUAAAAAGGACGGAGAGCACGGAAGCAGUCCAGGCUUCCAUUUAAUGCAGCGGAUACAUGAUCGGACUGUCUGACUGCAUACCUCCUGCUCGUGAGAAUGCAGGUGAUGGACAUACAUAUAUAGCAUACAAAGCUACGCACGUAUUACGAGCGCUUUGUCAAAAGCAACGGAAACUUGGCAUCGUAUGAUAUAGGAGCUCAAGUUUUAGCUUUACACCAGUGUCUUAAUGGGUGAAUGGGUUCAACCUCUGAAGACUAGGACCAACUCUAGAUCCUCUUACAUGUUCUUUUCAAAUGUAAUACUUGGUCUCUUACAUGUUCUUAUAAAUCGGAACAUAUAACACAACACUUUAAUAGCCUUUUCACACUGGGCACCAUCAACCAUCCAUUUCUGGGAUGGUCCGAAAAUGUUCCAGUUAUUACAGUUCCUAAUUUGCACGCGAUAUUUAUUCGGCUAUUUUCAAAUACAACCAUAAAUAUUUGGCAUUCACAACGAAAAAAUUAUAUUCAUUGGGAAAUUGUAACAAUGACUGACAGAAGAAGAGGAAAACCAACAACAAAACACUUGUGAAGUAGAGCAGAGUGUAGCUGGAGCUUUCAAAAAAAAAAAAUAUAAAACGAGAAGUGACGUGUGAGACGCACAACGUCACAACUUUUAUACAGGCAGGGGGAGGGCAGAGGCAGGGGCCGAGUGAGGCAGAAGCCGAGUGUGAAUGAGAGAAUGUAAAAAGAACAACAAAAGCUGCGGGACAGGGUGGGUUUAGCCACUGGAUAUUAAUUUCUCCAUUGUUGCUAUAAUAAUGAUCCGAUCGGAUAACAAUUUGGUGAUCUGAUAGAUAUGUACUGUAGGUUUGGGAGGUUUUUGCCCUUUUGCGGAGGCGGAAGGGGGCGGGGCUAAUUUUUGAAAUACACUGGUUUCAGUGUGAGCAUACAGCAGUCCGGAGCCAACAUUUGGUGGCUCUAUCUCUUAUAGUUUUUGAGAACUAACCGACAAACAAGACGGACGGACGGACGGACGGACAGACGGACAGACAGGCAUGGCUCUAUCGACUCGGCUAUUGAUACUAGUCGGAAACGUUUCCUUCUGUGCGUUACAUACAACCGUUAUUCACACAAUUACAAUAUACCCUAUUUAUUCUUCGAGUACCGGGUAUAAAAAAUGGAACAAGGAUCGGCAAAUAGCGGUUGUAAGCAUAUAUUACAUUUUUUGUUGUUUCAAAAUAACAUUAAAUUUAUCAAUAUUGCAGAAAAGAAGAGAACAACAGGUGGCAGGGGGAAAUAGUCAUCGGAGAUGGAGAGCCUGCUGAUAGAUCUCUGGCAGGAGAAUAUUGAAGAUCUGCGUGGAGCCAUGAAGGAGGCUGGGCUCGCGAUUGGAUGGGGAGAUGUUCGAGUGAAAGUCGAAAAUUUGCAAACAAUACGGUGGAGUACCAGCCUUUAUAAUUGUGAUGGUAGACUGCCUCAGCUCCUGGUGGUUUUUUUUCGAUUUGACAUCCAUCUACAAUAAAGGGAAAACCAAUUUACAUAUUUAUGUGCAUAUCUAUAGAUGUAUAAUGAAUUGUUCUAUUGCUUUCUUACCAAUUGCACCUAGACACUGUGGAAAUCCAAUCUCUUCGAAUCCUUGGACAUUCGUCAAGUCGCUUCACAUCUUUCAAAAAAAUCCAAAGUUCCCCUUGGAGGGGCUCAGUGUGAAGAGCCUAUUCUGAAUUAAAUUCAAGUUGUUUCAGUUAUAAUAGUCUUU